UACGUAGGGGGCAAGCGUUGUCCGGAUUUAUUGGGCGUAAAGAGCGUGUAGGCGGCCAUACAGGUCAGCUGUGAAAACUCGAGGCUCAACCUCGAGACGUCGGUUGAAACCGUAUGGCUAGAGUCCGGAAGAGGAGAGUGGAAUUCCCGGUGUAGCGGUGAAAUGCGCAGAUAUCGGGAAGAACACCCGUGGCGAAGGCGGCUCUCUGGGACGGUACUGACGCUGAGACGCGAAAGCGUGGGG
This 243-nucleotide ribosomal RNA is filed under the name uncultured bacterium. RNAcentral describes it as "partial 16S ribosomal RNA". It matches the Rfam family "Bacterial small subunit ribosomal RNA", at positions 524 to 766 of the family's 1533-position model. The record is from RNAcentral.